Long non-coding RNA from Ornithodoros turicata, 1015 nucleotides. RefSeq lists it as uncharacterized. The transcript is spliced from 3 exons. Lineage: Eukaryota; Metazoa; Arthropoda; Arachnida; Ixodida; Argasidae. The record is from RefSeq and is a predicted model, not a curated record.
CUGAGUCACGGUAGUGCAUUUUCCCUGUUUCAGUGUUGGUUUUGUAAAUUCUGUUGUAGCUACGAAAACGAACAGGGAAACAGCACUCAGAAAGGACAAGGUGUAGCAGAACAUCUCCGGACAUCUAUUUACCAUGACGACCUACAGUAAAAUGAGACAACUCGUCAUGGAUUUCAAUAUUUAUUGGUAUGAGGACGGCGACAUCUUCCUUGGAGUUGAUGAUCCUGGGUAACGUCCCGCAUGCCGCACACAUCAUCACCCGAUUGGGACCAGGAAUCACCAGCGUUGGCUGGCUGUUCGACAUCGGACCAGUGAUCGCCAGUCAUUUCGUCGUCGGUGGUGGCAGGUAGUUCUCCGGAACCCAAGUCCUUCUACGACUUCCAGAAGGUUGCAACAGCCGGUCCAACGUGUCCGAAGGAUCAUCGUCGUCAUCAUUGCAUCAGUGUACAAGUAAGCAUCAUGUCUUCGUCGAUCUUGCAUAAACUUGACAAGUUAAAGAAAUGUGGAGAGUUUCAAAAAAUGGCGACAAUUCCUAAAAACAUCAAGUAUGAUGUGGUUGAUGUUAACAAAAUUGAAACGAGGUAUGGCGAGGCGGUCUACGUAGAAAUUAUGAAGGAUCACGAGCACGUAAAGGUGUUCCUUCCAGCUCGGUUUCAUAAACUAAGCACUCAAGACAUCGAAGACAUGAGGAACACGAGCGGACUCUGGAUGGAGAAGAAAGAGCGAGUUGGAAAAGACGGGAAACGUCUUCUUUCGCCAGACAUCGUGUUCGGUCAAUCCGAGUAAAAAAAUAAAAAGAAAUGGUGAUAUGCCACCUUUGUCCUCCGGCCGAUCGGCAGCACUACACAACAUCGCUGGGACUUCAAGUUCAUCUGACUAACGUUCAUAACCUUGCAACACCCUGUAUCCCAUUUUGUGAGACACUCUGUACGCUCCGCAACUAUACCAACCGCUAUGAGCUUCAUCUACAUGACAGAGACGACGACGGGCAGGAUGACAGCACAUUCUUUCAUGA